Molecule: long non-coding RNA, 1042 nt
Filed under: Anser brachyrhynchus (Pink-footed goose)
Lineage: Eukaryota; Metazoa; Chordata; Aves; Anseriformes; Anatidae
Description: lncRNA (ENSABRG00000005971.1)
Source: RNAcentral
UUGUCACAUUUGUAAUUAAAUACUGCCUCAGUAGGCAGCACAUGCCUACUUUUUGCCUGCUUGCCUGCAUAUCAGCAAAUCCUGACCACUUCAAAACAGGCCUAACAAAACCAAACAGAAAACCCUCAACAGGCCAAGAUGCAUCUACUUUCAAGUACUCUGAAUAUCUCUGCUAACAAUGGAUCUGCCACCUUCCAUUACUUUCCUAUUGUACCUUAAAAGUCCACUUUGAAAAGUAUGCCGUAGAAAUGGCAGUCUGAUAUGUAUCUCUAAAUAUUUAUGCCGAGACUUUCUUCUGAAUUUGCAGUGGGUGCAAUCAGUUUUUUGGAGACUUUAGUCAAACUUUCUCUUAGAUAGAAACAGCGACCACACGGGCACACUUCCAUUGCUGGCAAAGAAGGCAAAGUCUCAUUUGUUCAGUAAAAGAAGAUUUUUGCUGGAUGCCACAGGAUGCCUAAAAGCAUGGUGUGAAAAGCAAGUUCUCAGGAGGACGUGAGAAGAGUUCUUAGUUAAUUUUGUUAUCCAAGGUUAAUUGGGGAAGUGACUUCUUGAGCUUCACUUGCAACAAUUACAUAAGAGAAAAAAAAUGGAGAAAUGUCUGCACGCCUUUGCAAAGAUGUCCUGGACCUCCUGCCUUGCGAAGGAAGGCCACACCGCGUGAGGAGGACGGGCCGUGUGAGGAGGACGGGCCGCGUGAGGAGGACAAACCAUGCCAGGCCCAAGUGCUCGGCCCUGGCUGGGGGGACACGGAGAUGGCACGUAGCCCAGGGAUGCUGCUGGCCUGGAGGUACCUCAGGAGAGGGCAAAACCAUGCCAAUAACACGGGGGCAGAUGGUGGCAGAUGACUUGCAGAUGUGGUUGCAAAGGUCACCGCAAAACAAGCUCCAUCCAGAGGACCUGGCGCAGCAGAUUCCUGCUGCAGAGCUAUUUGACUGUAGCGCGCUUCUGGAGCACCUACAGCUGCAUGCAUUAAUACCACGGCGGAGUUUCGAAAUGUUUUCAGGCAGACUUCAGCUCCCUGGGAAAUUAUUUUAAUUAUGAU